CCUACGGGAGGCAGCAGUGGGGAAUAUUGGACAAUGGGCGAAAGCCUGAUCCAGCAAUGCCGCGUGAGUGAUGAAGGCCUUAGGGUCGUAAAGCUCUUUUACCCGGGAUGAUAAUGACAGUACCGGGAGAAUAAGCCCCGGCUAACUCCGUGCCAGCAGCCGCGGUAAUACGGAGGGGGCUAGCGUUGUUCGGAAUUACUGGGCGUAAAGCGUACGUAGGCGGUUAUUCAAGUCAGAGGUGAAAGCCCGGGGCUCAACCCCGGAACGGCCUUUGAAACUAGAUAGCUAGAGUCUUGGAGAGGUCAGUGGAAUUCCGAGUGUAGAGGUGAAAUUCGUAGAUAUUCGGAAGAACACCAGUGGCGAAGGCGACUGACUGGACAAGUACUGACGCUGAGGUACGAAAGCGUGGGGAGCAAACAGGAUUAGAUACCCUGGUAGUCCACGCCGUAAACGAUGAUAACUAGCUGUCCGGGUACUUGGUAUCUGGGUGGCGCAGCUACGACAUUAAGUUAUACCGUCCGUCGGGUAGGUACGGUCGGCGAAGAAUUAAAACUUAAAAGGUAAAGUUAGUACGGCGUGAGAGUGCCGAACGGACGACGACGAGGGGAGGUAGG
Molecule: ribosomal RNA, 614 nt
Filed under: uncultured bacterium
Lineage: Bacteria
Description: bacterial SSU rRNA
Rfam family: Bacterial small subunit ribosomal RNA (bases 1-519)
Source: RNAcentral